CCAGUGAUGUGAAAUCACAGGUGCCUCAUCAAGGAAGCUUCUCCUCCUUACCCUUGCCCCCAUUUUCUCACCUCACAAGUCAUCAGAUAAGACAAAACCCUGAUGCCUGAUAGAGUCAUUACUGCAAAUAUUAGGAAUGCAAAUAGCAACUUCUUCAGUAUCUGUCUAUCAUGCCUCUCUCCUCAGCCUUCAGAUAACAUCCAAGAGGCUGCCAGAGAAGCAAAUCUAAAAGACGCAAGUCCCUGCCCUUCCCAUCACCCACUGCCCUGGUGUGGAUCCCUUCCAACAAGAGACAACACAGGCCCACUGGCUCUCACCAUUUAUGGAAUUGCCUUGGCUACUCAAGGGACCAGAUGUUCCCUGGGGUUGUGA
Molecule: long non-coding RNA, 372 nt
Filed under: Bos indicus x Bos taurus (hybrid cattle)
Lineage: Eukaryota; Metazoa; Chordata; Mammalia; Artiodactyla; Bovidae
Description: lncRNA (ENSBIXG00005016693.1)
Source: RNAcentral